This 875-nucleotide long non-coding RNA is filed under the name Setaria italica (foxtail millet). RNAcentral describes it as "long non-coding RNA (SITA_LNC004177)". The record is from RNAcentral. Lineage: Eukaryota; Viridiplantae; Streptophyta; Magnoliopsida; Poales; Poaceae.
UCCUACAAUCCCUGCGGCGGCUAGGCGGGCAGCUCUCCGGGUGACGAUGUCACAGACUUUGACAACAAGCCUUCGGGUUUUCAGAGGAGUGUCGGGUAUCUGCAACGGAAUCAUCAAAACCUUUCAGUACAUACAGGUUGGAGCAAACACGCAUGUUUUAGUUUGAGUUUGAGUUAGUGGAUAUCAGGAAAGCUGACCUUCAGAUGUUCUUGCAGUAUCCUUCUGACUUCGCUCAGAUCCGGUGAAUCGUCCUCGCGAAUUGCAGCCAGAAGUGGUGUGCUGGAACACAAACAGUAUGUAGAAAACAUAUGUUAGGAAUAGUUUUUUGUGAACAAGCUUUAGUUAGGCACUGAUGUUCAGAUCAAGGAAAUCAGCCAAGUAAAGUUUUCCCUUUUAAAGCUCAGUGACACAAAAAAUGUUCUAAUCAAGAUGCUCAGCUGAGCAGCAAUACUCAACUAAAAGAUAAGCACUGCCACUUGAAUUGGGAGCAGCAUGAAUCUUACCAAAAAGAAAAGAAAAAAGGAUGCAGUAACCAAAAGUUCAAAGGGGCAGUAAAACACUAGAGCUAUGUAAUGCACAGAUAAAACUCGGUGAAUAGGAAAAAUCAUAGCAGAAGAAAUACUCUGAGAGCAUUUUUUUAAGGACUCAGCAACAUUUUCUUUUAAGGAGUUUUGCUAUUUUCAUAAUCCAAAUGGAUAGUAUUUCAUCUGGGACUAGAAAAUAAAAGGCAAGGUUGAGAAAAUACAAAAUAGUAUAGCCUUGAACUUAUUACAGAGUACCAGGUAAGCAAGUUCCCAUCAAAUCAUUCUACCUCCCCAGUCCCCUUUUCCACAGCACAAUAAUAUGAGCUAAGCAAAGCAUAGCAAGCAUUAAAU